This 9527-nucleotide long non-coding RNA is filed under the name Olea europaea subsp. europaea. Lineage: Eukaryota; Viridiplantae; Streptophyta; Magnoliopsida; Lamiales; Oleaceae. The record is from RNAcentral.
AUUCAAUUUACACAAACAGCUCAAAUAGUUGCAAUUCCUCAUAAUCUUUCGCGACAAACAGGCAUAGUUCCCCAAUCUCCACUGGCCACUGUGAGUCGCCGGUCUCUUUGGGUCAUCGGCGCCACCAGAAAUCCUUGAUUUCAGGCGGAUAUCUCAUCGUUCCGUAAGUUUUAAGAACCCUUUUGCUAUUUCGCAUAAUCGUAUUGUUUGAAAAAUUGAAUUUGUUAUUACUUUCUAGGAAUCGUUUCAUUGUGAUACAUACUGUAUGUAUCUGUUUGAACAACCUUAAAAUUCAUGAAAAACUCAAGCUUUAUGCCUCCUAUAAUACACUGUUAUGCACGAAACCAUAUUUGUAGAUAUAGAGAGAGACUUGAGCAGCCUUUGGAGAAGACCCAGAAUGAAACUCCCCUUUGACAACCGAAGUUACAGCGUUUCUGGGCAAUAGCUUAAGGUUAAGCCUCAUUUUUUGCUCCCAAUGGAGAAGACGAUGAAAUUGUGUGCAAUCAGGGACGGAGCCGCCUGCACUGAACUUUGGGCUCAACCCAAGUAUUAGCUUAUUGGGCUUUCCAAUCAUCGGCCCAAAAAAAUUAAAACGAAAAUUAAAAAUGUCAACCUCGCCUAACCCCUAAUUCCCAAACCCUUAUCCACGCAUUCCACUCCCUCUCAUUCUCCAAUUUGGAAAUUUCCCUAAUCCCGCUCUCGCCUUCCAUCGACAGGAAGAAGGAAAGAGGUAAUAAAAUCACAAUGCAUCUAUUUAAAAUGCUUUCCGCCUCUCACUCUCGUCUCUCGCUUUACAUUGGCAGAAUAAGAAAGUGUUUAAUCCAUACUUACUGCAGAAUUUGUUUAGUGUUUGUUUGUGUAAUUAUGUGUUUAUUUAAUUGUUAUUAUGCAUGUGUUUGAGUAAUGUGAAUGUGUGGAGGUUGACUUGGGCUUAACUUUUUGUUCUUUAUAGUUCAGUAUACGGUAGAUAGAAACAGAAUUGAGGGUAAAUUUUGCUUGAUUUUACUUAAUAGGCUGAUUUGGGUUCACUUGAUUUUGCUUUCUCUAACUUGAAGUUUUUCUUUUAUUCCAAAAUUAGGAAUGACCUUGUUCCUGAUUCCAUGUAAAUUUCGUCACCUUUUGUUUAAUUCUGUAUAUUUCAUUCAUUUUGAGUUGAACAUUUUAUCGAAAUUUAACAAAUUCAUGUUUGAUAGGUGAUUCUUAAAUAUUCUUAUAGGUGUUUUCAAGUUUUGAAUCUGAAAGUAGAGUUUCAAUCUUUUGCACUUCACUUACUGUAUAAACUCUUUUUUUUUUUGGGAUUAAAUUUUUCACCUUGCCUAUGAAAGCGUUUAUCUUGUCAAUGUUGUUUUUACAAAGUGGGCUUUCGUGAUUGUAAAGAUGAUAAGCAAAUUAAAUAGCCAAGAUAUGUAGAGUUUGAUUAGUUUAUUCUAACUCUAUCUGUAUUGCUGUAGAUAGAGGGGAAAAGAAAAAAAAUUACUUUAGAAUGAUGUCACACUUGCUAAACCAACUUAUAAAAUGAAGUUGAAGUAAAUAAGUGGUGCUAUUCUAUGAGGAAUUUUCAAUAGGAAUGAUGGGAGUUCUAAAAGGGAUUCUUUUUAUUUGUUAGUGCGCAUUGCUAUCUAGUUAACUUGAAGUUAUUGAACAAUGAUAUCAAAGUAUGAAAACCUGCAAGAAAGAAGUAUAAUUUAUAAAUUAUGUCAUUUUUAGUAUUAUCGAAAUAUUAUUUUAUAUGUUUAUCAUUAUUAAAUACAUAGCCAAAAACUCAGAGUUCGAUAUUAAUUAAAUUGUUCCCGCACUAAAUAAUGUUUCUGGCUUUGUCCUUGUGUGCAACUGUUUAUGAAAUUAAUUGUUGUUUAUUAUGAAUUUAAUCUUAUGUUUUGAUUAAAAUGAAAUAUGGUAUUUAUUUAUUUAAUUAUUUAUGUAUUGAAUUUUUUUUCUUUAACAUUCAUGGAGAAAUAUUUUAAACGAAAAUCCAUAUGUCCGAGUGGAGAGCAAAUUAUUGACCCUACAAUACAAAAUGUCUAGGUCCGCCCCUAUCUACAAGCAUCGAAAAUACAAUCUAUGGCGUCUUUCGGGGCCUCGAUCCAGGAUUCCAUGUCUGCCUCAGGUCGUGCAUCAGAGAAGCUUAGCCUUCCGAUUUUUCAAUCCAAGAUGAAGUCUGACCCCGAAGGUUAUACGUUGGAGCUUGUUUUAAUUUACAACCAAUUCAAGUCAUCUCUCGAACUUUUCGAGCAGCAAGCGGCUUUAAAUUUCACCUUAUUGAGUGGAAUUGCCACUGACCCAACCGUGGCGAAGGAUUUGGGUAAAUGGAGGGUCUGCAUUGACUUCAUAGAUCUUAAUAAGGUGUGCCCAAAGGACAGCUACCCGCUGCCUAGGAUUGAUAAUCUUGUGAAUAGCACAUCCGGACAUAAACUGUACAGCUUCUUAGAUGCAUUCUCAGGGUAUCAUCAAAUCCUCAUGGCUAAUGAAGACCAAGAGAAAACUUUAUUCAUGGCUGAUUCAGCCAUAUAUUGCUAUAGGGUGAUGCCAUUUGGAUUAAAAAAUGCUGGGGCGACAUAUCAGAGCUCAUCAACAAAGUCUUCGCUGAUUUGAUAGGGAAGAACGUCGAGGCCUAUGUGGACGACAUGGUUGUAAAGAGUAAGAAGGUGGAGGAACACAUAUCCGACCUAGAGGAGGUGUUCGUCAACCUACGAAAAUAUAAAAUGAAGCUCAACCCGGAGAAGUGUGUAUUCGGCGUAGCUUCAGGAAAGUUUCUGGGUUUCAUGAUCACUCAUCGGAGGAUUGAGGCGCACCCCGACAAGAUUCAGGCUCUGGCAGCAAUAGAAUCAUCAAGGACCAAGAAGGAGGUUCAAAAGUUGACAGGCAGGGUAGCUACCUUAAACAGGUUCAUGUCCUGAGCAGCAGACAGGUGCUUCCCCUUCUUCAAAGCCCUAAGGGGAAAUCAUUGCUUUGAAUGGAAUGAGGAAUGCGAGAAGGCUUUUCAGGAGCUCAAGCAGACAUUGGAAUCUUCUCAUAUCCUCACAAAACUCGAGUCCGGGGAUACUCUGUAUUUAUACUUAGCCAUAUCUCAGAAUGCAGUGAGUGGUGUCUUGGUAAAAGAGGUUAACAGGGUCUAGCAACCCAUUUAUUACGUAAGUAAAGUCCUACUUGAUGCAGAAACAAGAUACAAUUUGGCAGAACAACUUGUCCUUGCACUGAUAGUGGCAGCACGAAAACUUCGGCAAUAUUUUCAGUCACAUCCAAUUGUAGUGCUCACCAAUUAGCCUCUAAAACACAUUUUUUCAGAAACCAGACGUCUCAGAAAGAUUACUGAGGUGGGCAAUUGAACUCGGAGAAUUUAACAUAGAGUUCAAGCCCUGUCCAUCUAUCAAAGCUCAGGCCUUAGCUGACUUUAUUGCAGAACUCACCCCAAGGCUUUGGGGGCCAGAUGGUAGCUCGAGCUCGACCACAGGUGUGUGGAAAAUUUUCAUAGAUGGAGCAUCAAACUCCUCGAGCUCGGGCGCAGGAGUCAUAAUCAUAAGCCCGGACAUGCUCAUAAACAUUCAUCAUAGCCAUAGAGCUCGUCAUAAAUCUUGAGCUUGAAAAUAUCAAAAUUUGCAGUGAUUCCCCAGUUGGUGGUUGGACAAAUCGAAGGGACGUUUGAUAGGAAGGACGAGAAGAUGAGCUUAUACUGCUUGAAAGUGCAUGCUCUCCAAAGAAAGUUCAGGAGUUGUGAAAUUAUGAAAAUUUCUCGAGCUGAGAAUCGCAAGGCCGAUGCCUUGUCAAGAUUGGUGUUCAUGGGAAUAGAUGGGCUCGACAGGACAGUCCACGUUAGAAUUAUAACAGAGCCAAGCAUCAAUCAGACCACAGGCGUCAUGGAUAUUGAUAAUGACCCAUCAUGGAUGGACUCAAUAGUGGACUUCAUAAAACAUGGCAAUCUUCCAGAAGAUCCUCGAGCAGCAAGAAGCAUUCGGUCCAAAGCUCCGAGGUAUUGCAUGAUUGAAGGAGUUUUAUUUCGCAGGAGCCUCACACUUUCAUACCUCAGAUGCUUUAGGCCUUCUGAAUCAUCCCAGGCCCUAAAAGAGGUUCAUGAAGGAAUAUGUGAGAACCAUCAAGGAGGCUGGACAUUAGCCUUCAAGCUCAUAAGGUAUGGAUAUUAUUAGCUGACAAUGAAGAAAGACGCCCAGGAAUAUGUCAAGAAGUGUGACAAGUGCCAAAGAUUUGACAAUGUUAUCCACCGUCCCGUAGAGGACCUCACUAAUAUUAGUUGCACAGCCCCGUUUGAGCAGUGGAGAAUUGACAUCCUUGAUCCCUUUCCAAUAACUAGGGGACAAUUGAAGUUUGUGGCUGUGGCUGUAGAGUAUUUCACUAAGUGGGUGGAGGCCGAGGCUUUAGCAACAAUUUUAGAGCCUAAGUUGAGAAGUUUCAUUUGGAGAUCCAUCAUAUUCAGGUUCGGGAUACCAAAAGUCCUCAUAAUUGAUAAUGGCAGGCAGUUUGAGAAUGCACAAUUUAAAAACUUCUGUUCCAACCUAGGGGUCGAUCACCGUCUGACAUCGGUUUCCCAUCCUCAAAGUGAUGCUUUUGCCGAAAUAACCAAUCGGAUUAUAUUACAAGACCUCCGUACAAGGAUCGGAGAUGCAAGAUGUUCAUGGUCUGACGAGUUACCUUCCAUACUUUGGACAUAUAGAAAGUCCCACAAAACAGCUACGAGGGAAACACCCUUCAUGUUGGCUUUCGGUAUUGGAGCUACCAUCCCUGUUGAAGUCAGAUUGCCCAGCCAAAGAAGGCUUGAGCCCGAAGAUGCAGGGCGCACCACUGAACACCUCGACCUUUUGGAAGAAGUUCGCGAUCAGGCAGCUCUAAAAAUGGCCUCUUACCAAAAUAAAACAGCAAAGUAUUUCAAUAAAAAUGUAAGGACUCGGAGAUUCAGGGCCGGAGACCUUGUGUUAAGAAGGGUUGAAGUAGCAGGUAAUGCUCCCGACAAGAUAGGACCAGUUUGGGAAGGGCCCUUCGAAGUCAUACGACAGCUUCAAAGAGGUGCAUACAGUUUAAGGGAUACAUCGGGAAGACUACUCCCAAGACCAUGGAACGCCGAGAAUUUAAAAAUAUAUUAUAAGUAACUUGUUCUUCUAGUUUUCAGUAGUCAGGCCUGCGCAUCAAGGUUCACGUUUUCAGUUAUCAGGCCUACGCACCAAGUAUAUUUUAAAGUAUAAUAAGAAUUAAGCUAUUUAUCAAAAUGUGAUCCCACUACGAAAAGUCUUGCCCCGCGCAAACAACUCAAGCCUUGCCCCGAGCAAGCAACCCUAUUCUUGCCUUGAGCAAGUGCAUAAAGAUAAUAUCAAGACACUGUACCAAGUAAAAUUCCCAAGCUCAUUGUGCCCGACCAACGAUGAAAUGAAUCCUAUAAAAACGCACAUCCUUAUCCUCGGGAAUCGAUAGGUCGGGACAAUUCAAUUAGUUCUCGAGAUAAUUUCCCAAUUCAGGGACGACCCUAAGAUUGAGUAGUAACCUUUGUCUGAAACUUCUAUGGGUUACACCGUCGAGAUAGCCUUUCAUUGUAGACGUCGAGAUAUUAAUCCAUCUUAAGCAUCGAGAUUAAUACUUAGACAUCAAGUUAUUAGGUCAUCUUUGGCGUCGAGGUUAAUAUUUAGUCGUCGAGUUAUCAAUUCAUCUUAGGGGUCGAAUUAAUAAUUUAUCAAUCUUAAGCGUCGAGAUUAAUACUUAGACAUCGAGUUAUUAGUUCGUCUUUGGCGUUGAGGUUAAUAUUUAGACUCGAGUUAUCAAUUCAUCUUAGGGGUCAAGCUAAUAAUUUAUCCAUCUUAAGCAUCGAGAGUAAUACUUAAACAUUGAGUUACUUAUUUACUUGUCUUAAUGUCGAGCUAUUUGUCCUGAUCGUCAAGUUGCCCAAGAUGUCAGCCAUAUACCGUGAAAGUGAAAAAACAUCGAUACAUUGAACAUUAAGUAAGAUCGAGCAAAAUAGUGUUCAAAAUACAAAACUGAUGUCGUCAUGAUCAAAAAAAAUAAUCAAAAAGUCUAGUCCCCGAUAUUCUGGUUAGGUUGAUCUUCCUCAACGUCAUCACCCUCGAUGUCGACCUCCUCAUCAUCAACAGUCUCCUCGGACUUCGAGAGGGUGAGGUCCUCAGCCAUACGUGGGAUAGUCUUCAAGUCCUCGAGCAUUGCGUCUGGCUUCGCGCGAAUGAAUGCUCGAGCCUCUUUUAGGGCAUGAAAGUACGAGCCCAUUGCGUAUUCACCCUCGAGCUCAUUAAAGACGUCAGACUUCUUGAACUCCUCAACUGAGUCAGCCCGAGCUUGAACCAUCCUCCCUUCAUAAUCCCUAUGAAUAUUUUCAAGCUCCAGCUUUACCUCCUCAGCCUCAUCCUUCAUCGCACCAACCUCUUCUCGAGCUUUUAUGAGCUCACUAUUCAUCUGCUCACGCUCCCUCAGUAGUUGAGCACGCUCGGCCUCAAGAUCGGCAAUUCUUCUAUCUUGAGCCGCUCGGGAGUCCUCGAGGUCAGCCAAUUUGGAGGACCCAUCCUUCCCUUUCAAAGCGACCUCGAGCUAUGCUUAACGUCUGGAAAAAAUGGACGAACAAAAGUUUAAUAAGACCUCGAUUAAAAAAGAUGUAAAAAUACUUACGUUUGGAUUACAUUAUCGACGUACCUUCAGCGUCAUGGCCUUGAGGGUCCUCAUGCCCUCAUCAAAUCCAAUACUUCCUCGGUAUUGGUCAACAAUGCCCGGCAAAAAUUGGCAUUGGGUUUGGUCCUCUGGAGGGACAGAGCAUGUUGGCAGAGUCUCAUCCUCGAGAUCGACCACUUCGACAGGACCUCGAGGGUGAGGAACGCUCCGGGGUGUACCCUGAGGGGUUGGACGUUCAACCCUCUCCCGCUCUAUGGCCGGGGAUUUUCCCCUUGGCUGUGACGUUUCGUCGGGCCACUCCUCUGUCUUUCGAGCCUUGAAUCUCAAGCUCUUUUUUGCCCCCUCUUCUUGCUGGGAGCCCGAGCCUAGGGGACCUUGGAGUUCUUGCUAACUGCAUAACAUAGGGCAGCAGGGUCAAACGUCAUUUCUGCAAAAUUAACCGACAUUAACAUGAGCACGAGCAUUAAUAAAUAUAGGUAGCAUAACGAAGACAUUGAAAGUACAUAUCCUACCCUCGACGCCUUUCACAUUCGCGAGAUCGAGGAUGUCAUUCCCGAGGACGUCAUCUAUAUUGUACACCAAAGGCUCGAGAUUUUCUAACAUCAGCCUAUCCCUCUCUAAGGACUCAAAAUAGGCUUGACCCUCACAAAACCUCGCAGUAUCAGGUAACACCCACUAACGACUAAAAGAUAGGUCGGGAUCUUGAGACACGACGUAAAACCACUUUUCCUUCCACCCUUUCAGUGAACUAGGCAUCCUCGGGAUCCUAAACCCUCCUCGAGAUGAAAGGUAAGCAAAACACGUGAAUUGGGGAAGUUGUUUCAGGUCGAACACAAUCCUGCAUAAGUCUAGGUAUGGGGUAAUUCCUAGGUACCUACAAGCUACAAAAAAUAGGUCAGCAUCCUCCACCCAUUCGACACUAAUUGCCCGGGGCUCAUAUUAUGCUCGGUCAAUAGGAAAACAAAGAAUGGGUGCACAGGCCACCUAAACCCCCCUUUAAAGAAUCCUUGAAAAUCACAAACUCUUUUUCCGGAGCUAGAGCCACCCUAUCUCUAUCCUCGGGAUGCCUAAUAACACAACCCGGCAUAAGGCCGUAUUCCCUAGCCGUCGAUAUCGUUAAGUGUUCCUUAAAACUAUAGGGUUGAUCUAGGAAUCUAAGUGACGUCGGGUUAUCCUAAGCUCGAGGGUGAGCACUAAUAGGUACUGCCAUCGGCACUAUUGACUGUCCUAAGUCCUCGGGUGUAGACCUAGACCCCAAGACGAUGUGUCUCCUUCACUACUCGACAUCCUAUUCCAAGCUAAGACCUUUCUAAAUAAACAAUUUAAGUUCUCGAGCUCUUACCUAAUACCGACGAUUGCGAGAAAAAUUUACUGAGAGUGAAAAAGUAAAAAAUGAAUAGCGAAAGGAGUAUUUAUAGGAAGCCAGGGUGGGAGCCCAAAGGUCACUCGUGCAAUCGUCCGAUCACGCCACGUGUCUACCAUCCAAGGGCUCAACCCUUCCACCGCCUUACUUGUUUAUGGUUGAUGUCAUCAUCACGUCAGCUUUGUUCACUUGUUUUCAAAAGCCCGAGCAUUUGCACAUCAUUCGCCUUUGAGCCUAUUUGCAUCAUAUCCUCGAGCAAAGGCUUUGAGCAUAUGUGCACAGGGGGCAAUGAUACUGACAUUAUCUGCAACCCGAUCACUAUAUUAUCCUGACUACCAAUUUUUGAUGAACUUGCAAUUCCAUGUAUGGAGUGCUCGAGCAUAUGAUCACCCCGGGGUAUUAUGCCCGACCACUUCCUGUCAGAUGCUUUACAUAUUGCGAUACUUGUCCUCGGGCAUAUGCUCUCCCACAUGUAGUUAUGGUAUUUGACCAACUCCUUAACUGUACAGGACUCCAAUAAAUAAGGACAUCCAGCUAGUUGAGUCUCACUACUACUAUAAAUAUAGAAUCUUGAGCCACUAUUCAGGUACGUUUUUCAUUGUUCUCCAACUUAUAGCCUCACACAUAUAAUUUCCUUUCUGACUUAAGUAUCGGAGGGCGACGAAAACACACCUCGUUGCAUUUGUUUCAUGUACCGGAAGAUUACGAUCGUGCUCAAUCCGAAUCAUCAAGCUCGGGAAAUCUGCAGGUACAAUUUUUGGUAGCAUCAUAGUGUUAUCCUUUUUUGGAACCGAGCUGUCGAUUCUACCAUAACAAAUUUUUUUAAAAUAAAGUAGCCAGAAAAACAUUAAACAAUUUUUAAACGAGUUCAUUCAAUUGAUUAUGCUAUUAACCAAAAAGGUUUGUAUCAGUUCCUCUUGAUUUCUAAAAUUUUUCUCGUUCAGUUUUCUUAGAUCUCCUUCAACAAUAUCUGUUGCACAGUAAUGAAGAAAAUCAAUGAUAUUAAACUAAUUUACAAUCAGUGAAAGUGAAAAGAAUAAAAUAUUUCAAAAAAGUUCGAAACUUCUUUCAAGAACUGAAUCACCCAUUCAAUUUCGAGUAUUUUAUAAAUAAAACCAUUUUUUUCUAUGCAAUAUUUGAAAUUGAUCAACCAACGAUUCCAAUUCAGGAGAUUCAGUUCAAGACAAAUGUCCCUAAUUAAUUAGGGAUAUACUGCCACACUAUAAGCUCGUAUUUUACAGUGGAUUUACUGUCCACUAAUAGAAAAUUACAGUUCUAAUAUGAAACAAAAAUUGAAAAAUAAAUAAAUAAAUUUAACAAUAAAGUCACAGUUAAAUAGAUUUCUACAUUUUUUUCUUUAAGCCUGCUCCUCUUGCACAAUAUUACCAACAAUUCAGUAGAGAUGGCAGCUGGGCAGGUUUGGUGGCUCCCCCCUCCCUUUAUUUAUAUUUUCAAAAUUUCGAGUUAUAUUAUUAUUAGAGAAUAAAAUAUAACAUUUUUAAAUAAUUAAUAUUUCAUUAGCAUUUAUUAUUUUUGUAUAACAAGUGUG